GAUAAACGCUGGCGGCGUGCCUAAUACAUGCAAGUCGAUCGAUGGAUGCCCAGCUUGCUGGGAGGAAAUAGAGGCGAACGGGUGAGUAAUACGUAAGCAACCUGCCCACGAAGACCGGGAUAAUCCCUGGAAACGGGGACUAAGACCGGAUAGGUAACAGAACCGCAUGAUUUUGUUAUUAAAGGUUAAAAACACUGGUGGAUGGGCUUACGGUGCAUUAGCUAGUUGGUGAGGUAACGGCCCACCAAGGCGAUGAUGCAUAGCUGGUCUGAGAGGAUGAACAGCCACAUUGGGACUGAGACACGGCCCAGACUCCUACGGGAGGCAGCAGUAGGGAAUUUUCGGCAAUGGGGGAAACCCUGACCGAGCAACGCCGCGUGAGUGAAGAAGGUCUUCGGAUUGUAAAGCUCUGUUGUAAGGGAAGAAAUGUACUUUGAGAAAAAGUACUUGACGGUACCUUACCAGAAAGCUACGGCUAACUACGUGCCAGCAGCCGCGGUAAUACGUAGGUAGCGAGCGUUAUCCGGAAUUAUUGGGCGUAAAGGGUGCGUAGGCGGCCAUUUAAGUUCAUGGUGAAAGCGUGGGGCUCAACCCCAUAAAGCCAUGGAUACUGGAUGGCUGGAGUACUGGAGAGGGUAGUGGAA
This 644-nucleotide ribosomal RNA is filed under the name uncultured Erysipelotrichaceae bacterium. Its description in RNAcentral is "bacterial SSU rRNA". It matches the Rfam family "Bacterial small subunit ribosomal RNA", at positions 28 to 666 of the family's 1533-position model. The record is from RNAcentral. Lineage: Bacteria; Bacillati; Bacillota; Erysipelotrichia; Erysipelotrichales; Erysipelotrichaceae.